This 1137-nucleotide long non-coding RNA is filed under the name Fragaria vesca (wild strawberry). Its description in RNAcentral is "long non-coding RNA (FVES_LNC003336)". The record is from RNAcentral. Lineage: Eukaryota; Viridiplantae; Streptophyta; Magnoliopsida; Rosales; Rosaceae.
AGAAUAUAAGUCCGCUCAUUCAAUUGUUUAUGAUAAAAUAUGAAUGCGGGUACAGCACAGCACCCUCUUGUCUCGUUAUUAUUAUUAUUAUUUUUUCCCCACUUCACCCUAUAAGGAGUCCUAUCGAGGAAGCAAGUUAUUUGUUAAUCUUACACAUAACAUAGCUCUGCAUCAUAAAAACUAGUAUCUGACAACUAAAGCAUAUAUAUUUGUAUAGCGUAUAUUAUACUCGAACUUUACACCCAAUUUGCUCCUCAUCCCAAACUCAUUUUGUUUGCUGCAAUUGCUAUAGCAAACCCUUUCGGCUAUCCUGCAACAUCAAUCGAUUUGAAAAAGAUUAGAGUCAGAUUAAGUUUAUCAAAUCUGAAUCAUCUCCAGAUCAAGCAAGCAAGUUUAAACUGUAAUCGGCCUUUUAAAAAUCCUUUCUGACUGAGGACCUUUCACAGAGUGGACUAGAAAUGUGCCCGCGCUUUGCUGCGGGUCAGUCCUACAUUCACAUUUGUCUUCUCGCCUGGGAGAACUCAUGCAGGAUGUAUAUACAUCAGCAGCUUCAUUCUUCUCAACUUCAGUGUUCGGUUCUACCUCCCUAUUUUUACAAAUUUAAGGCUUUAUUUAUGCAAAUAUAGGUUUAACUCUGCAGGUAUCUCCGAAACUUCAAGCUGCUCGUAAUAUCCUUCCGCAACUUGAAAUCAAUAUGACAAACCUAUAAAGUCAAAAAUGUGCUAAUCAAAGGGAAAAAAAAUCAUUUUAUGAAAGCACAACACUGCUUUGAAAGUACAAAUGGAAUGUUCAGCAAUCAUACAUGUAUAACUAAAGUUGAAAACAGAAGCAAGAAACACAAAUAUGGUAACAGCCUAUGUACCUGUUACAUAUACAAUAAAAUGAAAAUUAAUUUUUCAGAUGUCAACCGACAUAAGGAGUAUUGCAUCUUUAUUUGUAAACAACAAAAGCUAUAAUUCUCAUGAUCAUCCACCAUCUUUGUCUCUGUCACCUACGAUCCAUGUUCCACUAAAGAAGAAAAAGAAAGAUAGCUCGAAGUAUUUGCUGACUCAAGGUAUUUGCAUAAUCACAUAUAUAAAUGCAUAGUUCAAUCAGAGAUGCCUAAUCCAUGUACUCGAAAUGAUGCAAAUUCCAGAC